CAAUAGCGUAUAUUAAAGUUGUUGCGGUUAAAAAGCUCGUAGUUGGAUUUCUGCCGAGGGCGACCGGUCCGCCCUCCGGGUGAGUAUCUGGCUCGGCCUGGGCAUCUUCUUGGAGAACGUAGCUGCACUUGGCUGUGUGGUGCGGUAUUCAGGACUUUUACUUUGAGGAAAUUAGAGUGUUUCAAGCAGGCAUACGCCUUGAAUACAUUAGCAUGGAAUAAUAAGAUAGGACCUCGGUUCUAUUUUGUUGGUUUCUAGAUCUGAGGUAAUGAUUAAUAGGGAUAGUUGGGGGCAUUCGUAUUUAACUGUCGGAGGUGAAAUUCUUGGAUUUGUUAAAGACGGACUACUGCGAAAGCAUUUGCCAAGGAUGUUUUCAUUGA
RNAcentral lists this ribosomal RNA (380 nucleotides) under uncultured eukaryote. RNAcentral's name for it is "partial 18S ribosomal RNA". It matches the Rfam family "Eukaryotic small subunit ribosomal RNA", at positions 592 to 976 of the family's 1831-position model. The record is from RNAcentral.